RNAcentral lists this unclassified non-coding RNA (703 nucleotides) under Hevea brasiliensis (rubber tree). Lineage: Eukaryota; Viridiplantae; Streptophyta; Magnoliopsida; Malpighiales; Euphorbiaceae. The record is from RNAcentral.
AAUGCACGUGAUGAGCCAUGCCUCACCAUGUUUCUUGCCAUUCUCCCAUCGGAGUUUGUGACUCAGAACCACCAACAAGCCGAAGAAGAAUUUUGAGCUGAGAUAGUGAAUGACGGUGCAGAAUCCGGCUGUUACAAGAGAUGGCAGAGGCUAUAUCUCUUGGUUCCCUGCAUAUGCAAGCAAGCGCAGCAGCAGCAGCAGCAUUUUAGCAGAGCUGCGGCAGCGCCCUAUCGGCUACUAUAUGCCUCAAUAUUGGAAGCACUUUGAGCGGGUUGAGUUCAUUUGGACGUAGCAGGCCAUGUCCUUUGCUCCGCUACUUUGCUACCUUGCUGUUGAACAUAUGUGACGAGGGGCAGUAGUGAGUGAGCAAUUUAUUUGGUAAAUUUAGGAAUCUUUUAACUUGGGGAAUAAAAGAUUUAAGGUUUUGCACCGGAGGUAGCACUUGGGGCCAGGGGCAAAUAUAACUGCUGAAUUCUGCUACUUCUGUACUUCAUCCAUGUUACAGAUAGCAGCAGUCUCUGAAAACAUGAGGUUGUGCCCAUAGCUCUAAAUUUGCUGUUGCCUUUUGUGGCAACUUAAAAGAAAUAAUCUCAUCAUCUUCUCCUUUUUUAUAUUCCUUACUAAUCAUCUCUUUCUGUUGAUGUCCUAGAGUUGAAUGUCAUUGCUUGCUAAAGUUCUAUUAGCACAUAGAUUUGACUAUGGA